RNAcentral lists this long non-coding RNA (707 nucleotides) under Homo sapiens (human). Its description in RNAcentral is "HSALNT0341226". Lineage: Eukaryota; Metazoa; Chordata; Mammalia; Primates; Hominidae. The record is from RNAcentral.
UCUUCUUUUUGUCUCAAACCAUGCCCGUGAAAAGGAAUUUUGAUGUAUUGCAGGGCCCAGCACCCAGAUGCUGUUCCUCUUCUGCCUGGGUCCUGCAUAAGAGAGAAUUAUAGCAUAUUGCUGGGCCCCCACCUGAUGAUAUAACUCUCCUGCCUGUGCCAGAGAAGCAGAAGGUGUUUUUACAUAUCUUGGGCUCAUUCUGUAGGUGUUUUUGCUCUCAUCAUUUGUCUGGGUUUUUUUCCACAUUUGGGAUUGUGUCAUAUUGCUGGGUCCAGCACCCAGUUAAUGUAACCCUCAUUUUUAGACCCUGCUUAGAGAGGGCAUUGUGACAUAUUGCUUGCCACAGCACCUAAGUUGUGCUACCCUCCUGCCACUUUUUUUUUUCUACAAAUGGGAUUUUGAAAUUUACAUUGCUUCAGUUCACAGGCAUGAUGAUCAAAGUUAAAUUGGAAUUCCACCAAGAGUAGAUAUUUUGCCUCUCAUCGCUAUGCUUAGGGCAAUAGGUAAUAUUGUGCCAUAUACCAGAGACCAGAUCAAAGGCCUAAUAAGGACUCUUGUACCUGGAGCCAGGACUUGUGCAGGAUGGUGACUCUCAUCCCUGAACAUUUCCACAGGUGUUAUUGUGACAUAUACCUGUGCCCACCUCCUGAGUGAUUUAAUAAUCCUGCCUGUUAUAGCCCACAGAUGACAUAUUGACGUAUACCUGG